AAUCACGAGUGCUGAUCAAUGUAGCCCUGGCUGAUCAGCCAGCAACCCUCUCGCCGUAGUGGGGUGCUCCAGGUGAUGAUUCGGCUAAGUUCAACCGUUCUUAGCAAGUAUGGCGC
Molecule: non-coding RNA, 116 nt
Organism: Enteractinococcus sp.
Lineage: Bacteria; Bacillati; Actinomycetota; Actinomycetes; Micrococcales; Micrococcaceae
Source: Rfam